AUUGAACGCUGGCGGCAGGCCUAACACAUGCAAGUCGGACGGUAGCACAGAGGAGCUUGCUCCUCGGGUGACGAGUGGCGGACGGGUGAGUAAUGUCUGGGGAUCUGCCCGAUAGAGGGGGAUAACCACUGGAAACGGUGGCUAAUACCGAAUAACGUCGCAAGACCAAAGAGGGGGACCUUCGGGCCUCUCACUAUCGGAUGAACCCAGAUGGGAUUAGCUAGUAGGCGGGGUAACGGCCCACCUAGGCGACGAUCCCUAGCUGGUCUGCGAGGAUGACCAGCCACACGGGAACCGAGGCACGUUCCAGACUCCUACGGGGGGCAGCAGUGGGGAAUAUUGCACAGUGGGCGCAAGCCUGAUGCAGCCAUGCCGCGUGUAUGAAGAAGGCCUUCGGGUUGUAAAGUACUUUCAGCGGGGAGGAAGGCGAUGUGGUUAAUAACCGCAUUGAUUGACGUUACCCGCAGAAGAAGCACCGGCUAACUCCGUGCCAGCAGCCGCCGCAG
This 506-nucleotide ribosomal RNA is filed under the name uncultured bacterium. RNAcentral describes it as "partial 16S ribosomal RNA". It matches the Rfam family "Bacterial small subunit ribosomal RNA", at positions 29 to 523 of the family's 1533-position model. The record is from RNAcentral.